UAGAACCGCUGGGCGGUAUGCCUAACACAUGCAAGUCGGUACGGGUAGUUUUUAACUCUAGUGGCAGACGGGUGAGUAACACGUGGGAACGUGCCCUUCGCUUCGGGAUAGCCUCGGGAAACUGGGAGUAAUACCGAAUACGCCGUAUUGGGAAAGAUUUAUCGGCGAAGGAUCGGCCCGCGUUGGAUUAGCUAGUUGGCGGUGUAAUGGACCACCAAGGCUACGAUCCAUAGCUGGUCUGAGAGGACGACCAGCCACACUGGGACUGAGACACGGCCCAGACUCCUACGGGAGGCAGCAGUGGGGAAUCUUGGACAAUGGGCGCAAGCCUGAUCCAGCCAUGCCGCGUGAGUGAAGAAGGCCUUAGGGUUGUAAAACUCUUUCGCCGGUGAAGAUAAUGACGGUAACCGGAGAAGAAGCCCCGGCUAACUUCGUG
Molecule: ribosomal RNA, 436 nt
Filed under: uncultured bacterium
Lineage: Bacteria
Description: bacterial SSU rRNA
Rfam family: Bacterial small subunit ribosomal RNA
Source: RNAcentral